Long non-coding RNA from Colias croceus (clouded yellow), 621 nucleotides. RefSeq lists it as uncharacterized. Lineage: Eukaryota; Metazoa; Arthropoda; Insecta; Lepidoptera; Pieridae. The record is from RefSeq and is a predicted model, not a curated record. The transcript is spliced from 3 exons.
CCAUCUUACUUUACGGUUUUGUUUACAUGUGGGAAGAUGUCAUUGUGAAAUUUUUACGAUUUUCCAGUGUUUUUCGACCAUAUACGAGUGUAUUAAGUAUAAUUGAAACUAAUAAUAGGUACCAUGAAGUGUUCUAUAGUAGGUUGUGGCCUAUGCCAAAGCAAGAACAAGCCGAAUCUAACCUUUCACCGUUUACCAAGUAACGAAUCACUGCGGCGGCGAAAGGCAUGUUUGGAAAAGAUUGGCAUAGAAAAUAUCCGGCCAGGAAGUAAAAACAUUAAUGUGUGCUCAUUGCACUUUUAAGAGAGCGCAUUUAAUAAGACUUUAAACAUCGUUAGAUUGAGAGAUGAUGCUAUCCCAACAGUAUUUGCAAAGGCUUCAGCACUCGAAGAAUUAAAAAAAUUAGAAGAAAAAGUGGAGAAACAGAAAAAGAAAAUUAAAUGUUUAAAUGAAGUUGAAAAUUGAAAAUUGAAACCUUUAAAAAUAUCAUUAUUGCAUUGAAGGAGAAGAAUUUAAUAAAUAUGGAGACAUCCAUAUUAUUACAGCAAUGUGCUGGAUCUCAUGAUUUUUUACAUAGGCACAGAUUUUAAAGUAUAAAGGAUUGCCUUUGACAAAACAGUA